Molecule: long non-coding RNA, 2174 nt
Organism: Colius striatus (speckled mousebird)
Lineage: Eukaryota; Metazoa; Chordata; Aves; Coliiformes; Coliidae
Exons: 3
Source: RefSeq, a predicted model, not a curated record
GGAGAGGAGAGGAGAGGAGAGGAGAGGAGAGGAGAGGAGAGGAGAGGAGAGGAGAGGAGAGAAGAGAAGAGAAGAGAAGAGAAGAGAAGAGAAGAGAAGAGAAGAGAAGAGAAGAGAAGAGAAGAGAAGAGAAGAGAAGAGAAGAGAAGAGAAGAGAAGAGAAGAGAAGAGAAGAGAAGAGAAGAGAAGUUUUCCAAAGGCUAAGAGAACUCCUCCAUUAAGGACUGCACAGGUCUGGAAUGCCACUGCAAACUGCAUUCCUACAUGAGGAAGAAGAGAGAAAAGUUUGACAAGUCUUUUGGAAAUCACAGGACAGUUUUCAAGUUGAGAGAAUGCCAGAUUCCUUAGAUGUAGAUGACUGACAAGUGGGUGACACAAGCAUCGUUUCAGUUUCUUUUUGCAUCUUCAUUGUCUCCCUUCAUGCAAGCAACUGAUUAAAAUGUCAAAUAGUACUAGACUCUUGUCUAGUAGAAGACUCUCUGAACUCAGUUUGGUCUGUCUCUUCUCCUUGACAGCACACCUUUGAAAUGACUGGAACACCAUAAUAAAAGGGUCUUGUUAACAGUUGACAAUUCUGUGAUCUCAGCCUGGGAGAUGCAAACAUUCUAUUUAACAAGCCCACUCUGAGUCAUUCCUUCCUUAGCUGUGAUGGAUACAUUUGUCCUCUAUCCGUAUGUUGAUUCAGGCUAAGGAGCAACAGAACUCAUGCCCUGUGGUGAACUGGCAAGCUGGAAAGCUCCUGGCUCACAAAGGAGUGAAAGUGCCUCAGAAAAAUCUUUCAAAAGGUGGUUUCAAGACCCCAAAAUGCAAGAUCACUAAUGUACACAUCAAGACACCAGAGCUGAAAUGAGGACAUUGAUCUUAUCAAUACUGUUGAGUGGUGUAUUGGAGCUCUCCCUGAAUCACAGCUGAACUGCACAUCAAGUACCUCUCUGCUGGAGCAGGGACACAUCUCAAGGUUUGAGAUCCCUUACUUGAGACUAAGAGGUCCUUCCUUACCCAAAUCAAAGAGGUCUCUUACUCAUAAUACAUCUUCUACAAGUGACAGAUAGCACAAUAAACUGACACUGGAGAAGUAUUAUUGAUCCAUGUAACUACUCAUUAUUAUAAACAUUUUCUAGAUAAUUCCAUUAGGAAUAGUCUAUUGUCCAAGUCUGAGAUUAAGAUUGGACCUAGCUGCACCUAGGCUCUAUCAGGAGUUUAGAAAGCAAAGGGGUCUGCUCUGAACCUCAUGACUCAAUAGGAAGGUUUUUGGUCUCUUUGCAUCACAUGUCUCUGUAAAUCAUUCUAACUCAAUUUUCCUCUGUAUGUUUCUUCCAUGCAGUAAUUGCUAAGGUGAACCUUGCCAUCAGGACUUAGUGGACCUUGUCAAACCACUGUAAAACUUUAUUAAAAUCCAUUGAAUCCAUUAUUGGACUCCAUCAAGUUAUUAUUUUACCUCAAUAAAACAUACUGCAGCUUCUCCCUUUUGAGUGAGAUGCAUUUCACACAUCUGUGACAUUAGCCUAGUCUCAAUUCUCAGCCCAGGGUCACUGGUGCAGCUCUGCUAGGUGAUUGCAGUUUGUAAUUUCAGUAAACACUGAAGCAUGGGAGGAGGCAUUAAAUACAUAAAAGAAAAAAAAUAGUCAUUAUUUGUUUUAACAUUCCUUUAUUUUCUAAAAAUGCUGACUCUACUAUGGUCAUUCUUUCUUAUGGUGGCCACCAUGCUCACAUUUUCAGCCACAUCUUUUGUAGUGGUUGUGAUUAAAUAUCACAUUCCCCUCCAGUUGUUUUGUCCAUCAUCUGCCAAGUGUUUUGACAGCUUUCCAGUAUUUUCUGGGUGGUUUGUGUCCUCUUGUAUUGCUUUCUCAUCAAAAUGAUAAUUGGAAUUUCACAUUAGUAUAAAGAUUUUAUGGUUUUGAUAAAUGCUUUGGUCACCCAGAGAAAGACUCAUAAGAUUCUUCUCCAUUAUCUUCGUUGUUUACAGCCUACUGUAGUUCCCUAUAUGACAGCAAUAUCGCUUUUAGUGAGAAAUGUUUAGUUACUGUAGCCUUCAAUAGCCCUUCUGGAGUACAGAAUAAGCAUACAUGUCCUUGAAACAGCCUUUUGGUCUUCUCUGUUUCCUGAUCAGACCAUACUUGUCUGAACUGUUCAACUAGAUCUCUAUAAUGACAAUUAGGACAGGAUUUUUAAUA